UACGGAGGGUGCAAGCGUUGUCCGGAUUUAUUGGGCGUAAAGAGCUCGUAGGCGGUUUGUCGCGUCUGCUGUGAAAACCUAAGGCUCAACCUUGGGCUUGCAGUGGGUACGGGCAGACUAGAGUGCGGUAGGGGUGACUGGAAUUCCUGGUGUAGCGGUGGAAUGCGCAGAUAUCAGGAGGAACACCGAUGGCGAAGGCAGGUCACUGGGCCGCAACUGACGCUGAGGAGCGAAAGCACGGGGAGCGAACAGG
RNAcentral lists this ribosomal RNA (253 nucleotides) under uncultured bacterium. Its description in RNAcentral is "partial 16S ribosomal RNA". It matches the Rfam family "Bacterial small subunit ribosomal RNA", at positions 524 to 776 of the family's 1533-position model. The record is from RNAcentral.